This 375-nucleotide ribosomal RNA is filed under the name uncultured organism. RNAcentral describes it as "partial 16S ribosomal RNA". It matches the Rfam family "Bacterial small subunit ribosomal RNA", at positions 527 to 896 of the family's 1533-position model. The record is from RNAcentral.
GAACCGUCCGAACGUUAUUCGGAAUCACUGGGCUUAAAGGGUGCGUAGGCGGUCCGGCAAGUUGGGUGUGAAAUCCCUCGGCUCAACCGAGGAAUUGCGCUCAAAACUGCCGGACUCGAGGGAGACAGAGGUGAGCGGAACUUAGGGUGGAGCGGUGAAAUGCGUUGAUAUCCCAAGGAACACCAGUGGCGAAGGCGGCUCACUGGGUCCCUUCUGACGCUCAUGCACGAAAGCUAGGGGAGCGAACGGGAUUAGAUACCCCGGGUAGUCCUAGCUGUAAACGAUGAGCACUGGGUCGGAGGCUCCCUCCAUAGGCUUCCGGCCCGAAGCGAAAGUGUUAAGUGCUCCGCCUGGGGGAGUAUGGUCGCAAGGCUG